UGGGGAAUCUUCCGCAAUGGACGAAAGUCUGACGGAGCAACGCCGCGUGAGUGAAGAAGGUUUUCGGAUCGUAAAACUCUGUCUUUUGGGGCGAACGUGAGUAUGGUGAACAAUCAUAGUCAGUGACGGUACCAAAGGAGGAAGCCACGGCUAACUACGUGCCAGCAGCCGCGGUAAUACGUAGGUGGCAAGCGUUGUCCGGAAUUAUUGGGCGUAAAGAGCGCGUAGGCGGGAUAGUCAGUCUGUUGUAAAAGUGCGGGGCUCAACCCCGUGAUGGCAAUGGAAACAGCUAUUCUUGAGUGCAGGAGAGGAAAGUGGAAUUCCCAGUGUAGCGGUGAAAUGCGUAGAUAUUGGGAGGAACACCAGUGGCGAAGGCGACUUUCUGGACUGUGUCUGACGCUGAGGCGCGAAAGCCAGGGGAGCGAACGGGAUUAGAUACCCCGGUAGUCCUGGCCGUAAACGAUGGGUACUAGGUGUGGGAGGUAUCGGCCCCUUCCGUGCCGGAGUUAACGCAAUAAGUACCCCGCUGGGGAGUACGGUCGCAAGACUGAAACUCAAAGGAAUUGACGGGGUCAUAGCUGUUUCCUG
Molecule: ribosomal RNA, 588 nt
Filed under: uncultured bacterium
Lineage: Bacteria
Description: partial 16S ribosomal RNA
Rfam family: Bacterial small subunit ribosomal RNA
Source: RNAcentral